GCUACCAUUAAGGGCUCAGCUGCUAACUGAAAGGUCGGUGGUUCGAACCCACCUGGUGGCU
This 61-nucleotide transfer RNA is filed under the name Loxodonta africana (African savanna elephant). It matches the Rfam family "tRNA". Rfam says of the family: Transfer RNA (tRNA) molecules are approximately 80 nucleotides in length. Their secondary structure includes four short double-helical elements and three loops (D, anti-codon, and T loops). Further hydrogen bonds mediate the characteristic L-shaped molecular structure. tRNAs have two regions of fundamental functional importance: the anti-codon, which is responsible for specific mRNA codon recognition, and the 3' end, to which the tRNAs corresponding amino acid is attached (by aminoacyl-tRNA synthetases). tRNAs cope with the degeneracy of the genetic code in two manners: having more than one tRNA (with a specific anti-codon) for a particular amino acid; and 'wobble' base-pairing, i.e. permitting non-standard base-pairing at the 3rd anti-codon position. The record is from Rfam by way of RNAcentral. Lineage: Eukaryota; Metazoa; Chordata; Mammalia; Proboscidea; Elephantidae.